RNAcentral lists this long non-coding RNA (1332 nucleotides) under Anas platyrhynchos platyrhynchos (common mallard). RNAcentral's name for it is "lncRNA (ENSAPLG00000031223.1)". Lineage: Eukaryota; Metazoa; Chordata; Aves; Anseriformes; Anatidae. The record is from RNAcentral.
UCCAUAUUAAAAUAUUCCUCAGGUAGAAAACAUACUGUUAUGCUUUCUAACGAGGUGCCAAAUCCAGAGGAAUAAAAUGAGGGAAGGAAAGCUUUCGGCAAGUACCGCUUUUGAAUUCUUUUGGCCUUGGAAUGUAUUAAAGCAUUGUAUGUGUUAAGUGUAAACAGAUCCACUUCCAUAUACUUGCUUCCACAGCACUUAAAGCAGCCCUUCAACCUUUAUAAGGAUGAAAGGUGUUUUUAUCACUAGCUUCAGGCAAGACCUGAAUACCAGGCUCUUUGAAAAUGGUGGCUUAAUGUCAUUUCAAAACUCACAGCAAAACUGUGCAGUGAUUCAACAAGCAAAAAUAUUUUUAAACACAUUCUGGAAUCCUUUUAUUGUUCAGUUCUGUUUGUAGAAUUGUAAUGGAAAACACCUAAAAGUUUCCUGGGAGAUCAACAAUUGGAAGAUGCUUUGGUAUUGGCGAUAGUUGCACAUCUCUUCAAAUAUAUUAAAAUACCAGUAAUAAGGUGUCAUGACAUAUCUCUUUGGAAAGCUUAAUGGCCUUGUAUUAUUUCCAUGAACAGGUCCCACGUUACUGUCAGUUUCUUGCUCAGGAACAUGAGUAAAUGUCUGGCAUUGUUCUUCUAUUGCCAGCAGGACUGUUGGCAGGCCCUAGGAGAAGCUGUACAUCUUCUCAGCACAAAACAACAUGUUGCAUCAGAAAGACCUGACUUAAUAAUGGAAUUGGAGAGUGACUCUUUAGCCUUCUUUUGCAAAGAAGGGUUCAGAAUUUUUCCUAUGAUGGACACAACCAAGAAGAUAUGUAAGACUCUAAAUAAAUAACCCCUAAUAUUACUGGUGGACUUGAAUUCUUAAAUGCUUUGUUGGCUAAAAACAAGCAUACAGACACAUAAAACUAUUCACGUGCUGAAACAAGGCCACAAAACUACUGUUCUCUGGCCCAAAUUCUACACAGAUUUGCUGUUGUUCUCAAGCUGCUUUAGGCACACAACUUGUCCCAGAGAAAUGAAGCAAAGUAACCCUAAAACUAAUGGGGAAAGGAAUGGGCAAAAAGUAAAAAUGAUCGUGCAUUAUGGGAACUUUUGUCAAGGCAUUCUUUGACACAGUUGUUAUAGCUGAAAAGUAGUUUUACAUACAAAUAGGCAUCUUCUGCUCACCUAUUUGAAAUUAAACAUUCUUAUAUAUGUAGUCAGGUUCAGGACCUUGCAUUACAAGCUCUUCAAGAGAAAGGCAGAAUUCAUUUCAUUUUGUGUUCAGUGUUAAUUACAUUACCAACAACAUAAUUUCAAACAGAACAGCAUUCUGCAAUAAAAAUAACAAAAAAUAACA